This 306-nucleotide long non-coding RNA is filed under the name Phoenix dactylifera (date palm). Its description in RNAcentral is "long non-coding RNA (PDAC_LNC022267)". The record is from RNAcentral. Lineage: Eukaryota; Viridiplantae; Streptophyta; Magnoliopsida; Arecales; Arecaceae.
UCUUUGUAUUAGUAUCUCCACACAAAUGAUUGUGAGAUCAAUCAUUCUCUGCAUCGAGCAUACAUAAGACAUGCCAGUCUUUCCGGUAAUCAUUGAUCCCCGACUCAAUGUACCAAUGACUGGGAAUAUUUAAGAUUAGAAUUUUAUAAUUUUAAGUCUCACUAGUAUGAUCUCAUCAUAGUCUUAAAACCAUUGCCCUAAUCUAAGGAGUUUAUCAUAAAUAUAAUCAACAGCAUAUGAUAAAACAUAACGCCUUUAUUCAUAUUUAAAUGUCAUGUACAUGAUUUGGACAAAUCAAAAGAAAAA